GCGCAGCAGUCGAGAAAACUUUACAAUGUGCGAAAGCACGAUAAGGGAACUCUGAGUGCCUCCUAAGGAGGCUGUUCUGAUGUCUAAAAAGCAACAGAAGUAAGGGCUGGGUAAGACCGGUGCCAGCCGCCGCGGUAACACCGGCAGCCCAAGUGGUAGCCACGUUUAUUGGGUCUAAAGCGUUCGUAGCCGGCCAGGUAAGUUCCUUGGUAAAUUUAGCCGCUUAACGGUUAAGCUUUCAGGGGAAUACUGCUUGGCUUGGGACUGGGAGAGGUCAGAGGUACUCCGGGGGUAGGGGUGAAAUCUAUUAAUCCUUGGGGGACCACCGGUAGCGAAGGCGUCUGACCAGACCAGGUCCGACGGUGAGGGACGAAGGGCUA
Molecule: ribosomal RNA, 380 nt
Filed under: uncultured microorganism
Description: bacterial SSU rRNA
Rfam family: Archaeal small subunit ribosomal RNA
Source: RNAcentral